Non-coding RNA from Seriola dumerili (greater amberjack), 562 nucleotides. The record is from the annotation of a RefSeq genome assembly. NCBI's taxonomy places the organism in Eukaryota, Metazoa, Chordata, Actinopteri, Carangiformes, Carangidae.
AUGACAGUUUUUGUACGACGGCUCAAUGACUUUGUGUCACUGUGGUGGACGUUUGGUGGAGGAACCAGACUGGAUGUUGGAAGUGAUGCCCGUCCCACCCUGACAGUGCUGCCCCCCUCCAGCGAGGAGCUGCAGGAGGGGAAGGCCACGCUCAUGUGCCUGGCCAACAAGGGCUUCCCCUCAGACUGGAGUCUGGCCUGGAAGGUGGAGGGCAGCAGCAGCAGCAGCAGCUGGGAGGAGAGCAGGAGCCCCGGGGUGCUGGAGAAGGACGGCCUCUACAGCUGGAGCAGCACCCUGAGGCUCCCUGCAGACCAGUGGAGCAAGCUGGGCUCUGUGACCUGUGAGGCCACCCAGGGCUCCCAGACUCUGGUCUCAGAGACACUGACGAGAGAUCAGUGUUCCCAGUUCUGACCUGACUCACUGGGACUCUGCUACUGGUUUUACUCUGCUCUCUGUAACACACUCUCUCUCUCUCUCUCUUUCUCUCUGAUUUAUUCGCUGGUUUUCUGUAAUGUUUGUAAUUUCUGUAUUUCCAGUAAAUAAAGAUCUGUUCAUCAAUUAA